RNAcentral lists this long non-coding RNA (246 nucleotides) under Lathyrus oleraceus (garden pea). Its description in RNAcentral is "Pisum sativum (pea) long non-coding RNA (PSAT_LNC028486)". Lineage: Eukaryota; Viridiplantae; Streptophyta; Magnoliopsida; Fabales; Fabaceae. The record is from RNAcentral.
GAGUUUACAGGUGGGAAAAUGUGGUUGGAAUGAACUCAAGAUGUUGUUUGAGUGAUGUCUAGGCAAGGCAAGGUUUAGCUCCUUUGGGAGUUUGUUGACUGGUUCUUGAAAAGUGCAAGAGAUGAAAUUUUUUAGUGAAUGAAUGAGCAAUGGUUGGUCUUUGACAUGGUGGCUGUCACUGAGGUUUUUUCAAUGACAGAAAAUGCAGUUUUGACUGUAUCAAACCAAGCCAGGCUUUUGUUCUUU